UACAAGAAAAUAGACUUUUAAUAGCAUAUUGUUAUAGCAUUUUUGUACUAAGUGCUGUAAUAACCAAUCAGAAUAAAAAAGAACGCUAUAAUAUUGUGGGCCGCCCAAAUUUUAUUUUGGUUAGACUUUCAAAUAGGAAAUAUUUUAACUACGGGGAGAACCCCAAUUGAUUUAUUUAAGUAUUACAAAUACAAACCCUUCAAUUUAUCUCUCAAUCGCCGACUCUCUCCCACCAGAUUUUUCCAACAUUUUGUUGUCGCCGUCUCGCACUCCAAGGUCGACCUGCCGACGCCAUCUAUUCGGUUAUUUCUCCUUUGCAAAUUAUCUUAAUUUCAGUUUAUUUGCAAAAGCCCUAAUAGCUCUUAAUUUAUUUGCUAGAUCGAUUCGCCCACAUAGCAUUGUUUAUUCGAUGAGCAUUGUUUAUUCGAUGACAGACAUUGUUCAAACCUAUUGUAGAUUACGAUUAUGUAAAUUCAAUUAAGACUUUGUAAUUUACUUUUCGAUUAUAUUUUUAAUUCCAUUUUCUCCUCCUACCAUUUAUUCAUCUUGUAUGUAAUUUUAUAAUUAUAUUGUUGUUUUAUGGUAGAAAUGGGGCAUGUCAUGAAAAUUACGAACAAGGAGUUUUACAAGAUAUUAUAGUGGGUAAAUCAUUGAAUAUAUCCAUGCUACAAGAUUCACAGACAAUGAGUUCUUCAAAGUACUGCAUUGAAAUAUGAAAGACAUGGAAUAGUGUCUAGUUUUUUCCUCCUCUGUAUUAUUCUGCAAAUAUAUGAACAUAACUAUUCUGUAUCCUUUUUUUUUUUUCCUGAUUGCAGGAGAAGCUUUAUAAUUUGACAUUGAGGAAUUAGAUAGAAAGUAGAUGGGGUUAAAGUGAUGGCUAAUAACGUACUCGCCUAUAUUGAGGUCAAGGAUGUGAAGAUGCAAUUCUUGCUGUAGAUAUGAAUUCUUCCUUGAAUUGCAACCUUUUUUUGUUUUUCAUUUUGUUAAGACAUUGUAUACAUCUAUUUUUUUAGUCAACAUAGUAUGAAUACUGAAUAAUGGAAGAUAGGUCUUGUAUUGUUUCAU
Non-coding RNA from Erythranthe guttata (spotted monkey flower), 1065 nucleotides. NCBI's taxonomy places the organism in Eukaryota, Viridiplantae, Streptophyta, Magnoliopsida, Lamiales, Phrymaceae. The record is from RefSeq and is a predicted model, not a curated record.